RNAcentral lists this long non-coding RNA (1047 nucleotides) under Ficedula albicollis (Collared flycatcher). RNAcentral describes it as "lncRNA (ENSFALG00000028832.1)". Lineage: Eukaryota; Metazoa; Chordata; Aves; Passeriformes; Muscicapidae. The record is from RNAcentral.
AUGUCCUGGCUGGACAGCCGGACCUCAAUUCCCCUGGGACCCAGAAAUUUGAGUGCCCAGAGACUUUCUAAGGGAAUAACCCCCCUCUGCCCCACCUCCCGUGUGCCCAGGGCUGAGGGAGAGGAGGGUGAAGGGUGCUGUAACUCCAGCAUGGACCGAAUUCCCUGCCAGGCUCCCAAAUUACCUUCACAGGCCCUCGGAUCUCCACCAGAGCCACGUCGCUGCCAGCGUCUUCCCUCUCGGGCACCUCCGGGGCUUCGUAGAGAUCCAGGGGGUUUGGGGAGGAGCCCCCAGCCCCUGGGUUGGGCGUCUCCAGCUCCCCAGGGCUGGAGGGGGCUCUCCCUCCUCCCCAGGGCACGGGGAGGAUCCAGGGGCUCCUCCAGGUGGGCUCAUCCCCCUCCUGCCCCUCGGUGCUGCCCGAAGCCGCGGCUCCUCCGCUGCCAGCGCCGCUCCCAGGGCUCGGGAGGAGCCUCUUGGUGUCCUGGGGCUGCUCCACGGGACCGGCAGAGCCCUCCAGGGGGGACGUGGGCGAUGUCAGAGCCCCUGGGUGCUUCUGGCGGCUCUCAGGUGACCUCUGCCCGUCCCCUGUCACCACAUCCUCCGUGCACUGCACAGGCAGCGACACCGGGAUGUCUUUGGGAGAGAGCGAGGCAGAGCUGUCAUUCCUGGCAAUUCCAGGGGUUUGGGGGGUUUUUUUUGCCUUCCAUUGCUCCAUUUUCCUGCUGGGCUUGGGGAACCCCUGGGCUGGCAGAGCUCACCUGUCCCCUCUGGAGUGUGGGCCAGCAGAGGAAGGACACUGAGGACAAGCAGGGAGGGCUGGAGGAGCUCCCUCAGGAGCCUGGGCCAUCCCUGUGUCCCCAGACCCCAGGUGCAUCCCAGGAAAGGCUUUGUUUAAGUCCUGGAAGGACACAGGUGGAAAGGAGGGAGCCCCAGGGCAGGGAGGCUGCAGUUUCCCAGCACAGCUUUGUCCAAACCAAUCCCUCCUGGCCACAAAAUUGUCAUUUCAGGGUUGGGAAAAUGGUGCCAGACCCCGUGGGAGUGAUGUGA